Molecule: small RNA, 106 nt
Filed under: Marmota monax (woodchuck)
Lineage: Eukaryota; Metazoa; Chordata; Mammalia; Rodentia; Sciuridae
Source: RNAcentral
GCCAGGAGCAGCGGAGCACACCUGUAAUCCCAGCUACUCAGGAGGCUGAGGCAGGAGGAUUGUAAGUUUGAGGCAAACCUGGGCACUUAGUAAAAUCCUGUCUCAA